GAUGAACGCUGGCGGCGUGCCUAAUACAUGCAAGUCGAGCGAACAGACGGGGAGCUUGCUCCUCUGACGUUAGCGGCGGGCGGGUGAGUAACACGUGGAUAACCUACCUAUAAGACUGAGAUAACUUCGGGAAACCGGAGCUAAUACCGGAUAAUAUAAUGAACCGCAUGGUUCAAUAGUGAAAGACGGUUUUGCUGUCACUUAUAGAUGGAUCCGCGCCGCAUUAGCUAGUUGGUAAGGUAACGGCUUACCAAGGCAACGAUGCGUGGCCGACCUGAGAGGGUGAUCGGCCACACUGGAACUGAGACACGGUCCAGACUCCUACGGGAGGCAGCAGUAGGGAAUCUUCCGCAAUGGGCGAAAGCCUGACGGAGCAACGCCGCGUGAGUGAUGAAGGUCUUCGGAUCGUAAAACUCUGUUAUUUGGGAAGAACAAAUGUGUAAGUAACUAUGCACGUCUUGACGGUACCUAAUCAGAAAGCCCCGGCUAACUACGUG
RNAcentral lists this ribosomal RNA (497 nucleotides) under uncultured bacterium. RNAcentral describes it as "partial 16S ribosomal RNA". It matches the Rfam family "Bacterial small subunit ribosomal RNA", at positions 28 to 507 of the family's 1533-position model. The record is from RNAcentral.